GAUAUGGCUCAGGAUGAACGCUAGCUACAGGCUUAACACAUGCAAGUCGAGGGGCAUCAGUUUGGUUUGCUUGCAAACCAAAGCUGGCGACCGGCGCACGGGUGAGUAACACGUAUCCAACCUACCUCAUACUCGGGGAUAGCCUUUCGAAAGAAAGAUUAAUAUCCGAUAGCAUAUAUUUCCCGCAUGGGUUUUAUAUUAAAGAAAUUCGGUAUGAGAUGGGGAUGCGUUCCAUUAGUUUGUUGGGGGGUAACGG
RNAcentral lists this ribosomal RNA (256 nucleotides) under uncultured bacterium. Its description in RNAcentral is "partial 16S ribosomal RNA". It matches the Rfam family "Bacterial small subunit ribosomal RNA", at positions 15 to 263 of the family's 1533-position model. The record is from RNAcentral.